RNAcentral lists this small nucleolar RNA (107 nucleotides) under Gossypium barbadense (sea-island cotton). RNAcentral's name for it is "Plant small nucleolar RNA R71". It matches the Rfam family "Plant small nucleolar RNA R71". Rfam says of the family: R71 is a member of the C/D box family of snoRNAs containing the C (UGAUGA) and D (CUGA) box motifs. Multiple nearly identical copies of this snoRNA have been identified in Arabidopsis, and it is thought to function as a 2'-O-ribose methylation guide for 18S ribosomal RNA. The record is from Rfam by way of RNAcentral. Lineage: Eukaryota; Viridiplantae; Streptophyta; Magnoliopsida; Malvales; Malvaceae. RNAcentral also lists the same sequence under 2 other names.
AAACCAUGCAUCGGGCAUUUUCUAAUUAAUUCCUUGAACCGCUCUUAAGCUUUAUACAAUGUCUUAUCCUUAGAUUGCCGAAAAGAUGUAAUAUCAUUCCUUAAUUU